GACGAACGCUGGCGGCGUGCUUAACACAUGCAAGUCGAACGGAAAGGCCCUGCUUUUGUGGGGUGCUCGAGUGGCGAACGGGUGAGUAACACGUGAGUAACCUGCCCUUGACUUUGGGAUAACUUCAGGAAACUGGGGCUAAUACCGGAUAGGAGCACCUGCUGCAUGGCGGGGGCUGGAAAGUUUCGGCGGUUGGGGAUGGACUCGCGGCUUAUCAGCUUGUUGGUGGGGUAGGGGCAUACCAAGGCCUAGACGGGUAGCCGGCCUGAGAGGGUGACCGGCCACAUUGGGACUGAGAUACGGCCCAGACUGCUACGGGAGGCAGCGGUGGGGAAUAUUGCACAAUGGGCGGAAGCAGGAUGCAGCAACGCCGCGUGCGGGAUGACGGCCUUCGGGUUGUAAACCGCUUUCGCCUGUGACGAAGCGUGAGUGACGGUAAUGGGUAAAGAAGCACCGGCUAACUACGUG
Molecule: ribosomal RNA, 468 nt
Filed under: uncultured bacterium
Lineage: Bacteria
Description: partial 16S ribosomal RNA
Rfam family: Bacterial small subunit ribosomal RNA
Source: RNAcentral